Long non-coding RNA from Homo sapiens (human), 14944 nucleotides. RefSeq lists it as uncharacterized. The transcript has 5 exons. NCBI's taxonomy places the organism in Eukaryota, Metazoa, Chordata, Mammalia, Primates, Hominidae. The record is from RefSeq and is a predicted model, not a curated record.
AAUUGCAUUUUAUUUAUGCAAUCCUUUAUGUCCUCUCCAGCACCCAGGGCCUUGCCUGGCAAUUAGCUGAAACUCAGAUGGCAGUGCCCAGCGACCCUCAGCUCUGACAAUGGCCCUGCCCAGAUGGGCUCCCUGUCCAAACACCACAUUUGGUAUAAAGGCUAUCACAAUUGCAGAGUAUUGAGUACAGAAACCUGUAAUCUAGGGAAGAAUUCAGCCAGAGCAGUUCCUCCUACACCGGGAACAGAGCCUACAGCAAGCAGUGUGGAGACCUUGGUGCUCCAAGAAGGCCUGGCCUCUGGGGCUGCUGCUGAGAAGGUAUCUGUGGGCCUUGGGGCGGACUUGGGGCAGGUGAAGCCUACACAAGAGGAAGGACCACCCCAACUUGUUAGUGAACAGAGGGGAGAACUGAAGACAAACCUCCCUGCCUUUGCUUAGGCCCAGGACUGAAGAAAAUUAAUCGAUGUGUAGUUGAAUGCCACCACUUUACAAGAUAUGGGAGGAGAAGGCCAUGUGACUUGAUAGGAAAAUCGACUUCGUAGAGCCACACAAAUUAACCAAAGACUUUCUCCAGGGAAAGAUCUUUGGGCUGCCGUAAUGAAUCACGUUCGACUCUAAAUUGCAGAGGAGUGGUCUUUGGGAUGCAUAUAGGAAAUUAUUUUGUAAAGAGACAGAAUCCAGGGUUAGAAUCUGAGAGGUGCAGCAGGAGUCAGAGUGGAGACUUGGUGGCUCUAAGGUAGCACAGAAGGAGUCAUUAUGUGAUGGAAGGGCAGUGCCCACUCUCAUAAACCUGGGCUGGAAGUGUGGGUCUCUGUUGAGCAGGUGUACUGCUCACAAAGCCCCCCAGGGGCGUGUGGCCUUGUGCCACUCUCCUUUGUGUAGCUCUUUAAGGAAUUCCAGUGGCUAGGAUAUUUUUUUUUUAACUUUGGUUUUUUGGAAGUAUUUGUGGGUUUCCGGAGAGGAUGCCUGUCCUUCCAUGUUGGUGCAAUAGAGAGGCAUGAGUGUGACUCCCAAAGCAGCUGGAUGGAGCCGUGGUAGAGGCUCCCCAGCUCCGGAUUUGAGAAGACCCAGCAGGGCUGGGAGAAGUGCUGCACAGGAGGCUGAGGGUUUCAUUAGUAUUUACCUAAUGUCAUCUUCCUGUUUGAGGACCCCAUCUGGGAUACCACAGCACAUUUGGUCAUGUCUCCUGAGGCUCCUCUUGGCUGAAUUCAGGAAAGAACUUGAGUUCUACUUUUGCAGUGAAGAACAGAGAACACCUGCAGAAGCUGAGAAUGAAAUGAGCCCACCAGGACUUAGCAACCGUCUUGCUGAGGAAACGUUUGAAUGGGAAUGGGAGAGGAGAGCAGAAAUGGGAAGGAAAAAGAAGAUUCCAGAGCAGUAACGUAAUUAAACAUUCUCAAUCCACAAAAUGACUGCAAAGCAGAUAACCAGAGUCCUGAUGAUUAACUGCCGUCAGUGGAACUGCCUGUUUUUCCUCAAGUGGAUCUUUCCUUCUAUGCAAAAGCAGUUGAAGUGGGUGUCUGUACGCUGCGUCCUAGCCCUGUGCCGAUUUCCUAUUGAGGUCAGUGGGCCUUUGUCGCGGAGUGGAGAUCUUGGGGUGUCUCAUGGACUUUGAGCUCCAAGGCCUGGAGGGGCUUCUUGGGCAGUUAUCACAUGUGCUGUCCUGUCAUCUGAUGUUUCCUGGGGUCAUGGUUGCAUGGAGACCUGGGAAAAGAGACCGUUGACCACAAGAGGCCCGAGGCCUCUGACCACUGACCAGGAGCUUGAAUUUCUCCCAGGCAGACGGCCCCUGGUAACCUGAACAAUCUGGGAGAUGAGUUGGAUAUUAGAGGGGCCUCCCACGCAGGUUGAGUCACGGAGCAGCCAGAAUGUCCUCCUGUGCGAGGGCUAUUUGUGACCUGGGGUCAAGAUUGUUCUGACUUCAGUUUCCUUUACUUUCAUAAUCAUUUCCUGGCAGUCCUCUCCCUGAAAUAAGAAAUACCGGCUUCUGUUUAUGGAACUUGUGGGCCAACUUAGAUAUAUUGGGGUCCUGAUGCUCUCAGCAGGGGAACAUCAUGUUGGUAACACUCAACCAAGAACCCGUGUGAAUGUCAGGCAAAUGGUAGAGGAGCUUGGAUAUGGAACUAGAACAUCCAAGUCCAAGUUCUAGCUGUGACACUCACUCUGUACCUGUGAAUGCCGGGGAAGCCCGGCAAGCCACUCAAAGCCUUACGAGCUGCACUUUCCUUAUCUUACAGUGGAAAUGAGAAUCUUUGUUCCCUGAAGUUUGUCAUAAACAUCAAACUGGAUGUUUGAGGAAGUAUUUUCAAAUCAAGUCACCACCAGUGGUGUAGGGUAAGGGUUUUUUUCCUUAUGGCAAUAUGAGGGGUGCAUUGGGGAAAAGGGGAGCAUUAGCUCCUCAGAUAUCAUGAAACUUUUGGGAUAUUGUCAGAGCCCCAAGGAUAUCACAGGGUCAGCUUGGCUAGUCCCGCAAACCUCUGAGAAGUAUGUUCUGCUGGAUGGGCAAGCAGGUCCUCAGGGUAAAAGAGGAGGAAGUGGAUUAAGCAGCGUGGUCUUUAGACACACCUGGGAAUUAUUCGUGUUGCCAGGGAAGGGGUUGGCACUGCUGCUAUUUCUCUUUUCCCUUUGCAGGCUGGCCUCAUGGGUGUGCAGAUGUUUUUUUCAGGGCUAGUGUGAUGGAAUGGUGGUGGAACUUAGUGUGAACACGCCGUGGUGUGUGAGCUUUUCACGUUCUAGUCUAGAGACAGCCGAGGCUGUUUUUGAAGAAGGGAAAGCUGGCUCAUGUGUGACUGUUCACUUACCUGCCCUUAAUCUCACUUCCAGAAAAGGUAAAAUUGCUCCGCUCCCAGAAGGUGCCAGCAAGGAGCUCGCUCCUGGGUUGGUUCAGGGUUGUGUCUCAAUGGGCAUCUUUUCAGAGCUAGGUUGGAGCCAAAAUCUACUUUGCUGAGUCCUCUUUUCUAGGUGUGUUCAAAGGGAUAUAAAAUCCAUGUUUGGGACCCGUUACACUUGUUCACCACGGACCAUUUGGCAAUCAUUUUUAUCCCAGAAUGAUUUCCUGCCUUAGAGUGAGGCCCAUCCAGGGCAGUGGGAUUUCCUCUUUGCUCUGCUCUUGUCUUGCAGAGUGACCUGGGUUGACCUAUCUGUCCUUUCUGUUACUCAUAUCUUUAGCCUUAAAAGAUCAUGUCCUUUUAAUUUAAAAAACAAAGCCAAACAACCCUCCCACUACAAACCACUAAUCUUUCAAAACAGAAAAAAAAUGUGUCUUUUGAAAAGAGGAAAUUGCUUUUUAUUAGGUGUAAAAACCAACAAAAAAAGCUCCCAACAUCUCCAGAGGCCUGGGAGUUGCCAUGAACCGCUGACCCCAUUCUGUUAGGUUGGCAAACAGCCUCCCCAAGCCCGCCAUCCAAGCAAAACGGUGAGCUUGACUUGUGCCACAGAACAGCCUUGCCUCACAUCAAGACAUGUUUCCACAUCCUCUGGAGGGUGCCAGCGUAGCCUUGGCACAUGUCUUUUGUAAGGGACAUUCAUUUGUAAAUUCAAAAAUAUGCUGGAGUGACCUUGAAGGACAGUAGUGUAAUCACAUCAUUUAAGAGAUGAAGAAACUGCAGCUCAGAAAAGGAGUCAUUUGCUCAAGCCACAUGUGGGUCUGUGGAAGACCUGGGACUGGAACCUCAUCCUUCAGAGCAAUGCUGUUGCCACUAAGUCCUUGGAGACUUGAGAAGAACUUUCCAGGUGGUGGCGCAUAGUCACUGCUCACCAAACCUUCCGGGUGUCCCCCAGUAUUCCUUAGUAGUCAGGUUGGGGCUGCGUGACUAGACCUGGAUAAUGACGUCCCAGCGGAAGUGAAUAAGAAGUUAACCUGUGUUGUGUUGGGCCAUUGAGAUUUUGAGGUAUUUUUAUUACUGUAGCAUAACCUAACUUUAUGCAGAUCUAUACAAAAACUAACUUUGCAAAACCAUCUCAGAAGAGCUGACUCUGAAGGUAGAACAAUGUCUCACUCAAGGAUUGAUAUCUUUUAUUGAAUGGGGGGCAGGAUAGCGUUAUAGUUUUGAGACUUUGCUUUCUAAAGCUUGGGCGUCUGGAUACUAAGAUGUGUAUCUCACAUCCACCACUUAUUAGCUGUAUGAUUUUGAGCGAUUGACUUUACUUAUUGUGCCUCAGUUCCUCAUCUAUAUAAUGGGAAUAACAAUGAUGACUCUAUCAUUGACUUGUUGGGAGGAUCUGAGAGGAUAACACAUGGAAAGCUCUUUUUUUUUUUUUUUUUUUGAGACAGUCUCACUCUGUCACCCAGGCUGGAGUGGAGUGGCAUGAUCUCGGCUCACUGCAACCUCCUCUUCCUGGGUUCAAGCGAUUCUCCUGCCUCAGAUUCCUGAGUAGAUGGGAUUACAGGUGCCUGCUACUAUGCCUGGCUAAUUUUGGUAUUUUUAGUAGAGACGGGGUUUCACCAUGUUGGCCAGGCUGGUCUUGAACUCCUGACCUCAGGUGAUCCACCCACUUAGGCCUCCCAAAGUGCUGGGAUUACAGGCAUGAGCCACCACGCCGGGUCCCCUUCCUCCAUCUUAAACCCAGCUGUGAGGUAUCUUCAAGCCUCUCUCUGCUCUCGUCAUGAAGCUGUCCUCUCUCUCAGCAUCUGUCUACUGCUUGCCUCUUAUAUGGGCCCUUGUGGGUAUACUUAUAUACACUCCCCAUCUGCAAAGUCUCUUUUGCCAUAUAAGCAACAUAUUCACAGGUUCCAGGGAUUAGGAUGUGGAUAUCUGGGAGAGAGGGAAGUGUUUCAACCUACUGCAAGGAACAUGAUUGAAUUUUUUCUUUUCUUUUCUUUUUUUUUUUUGAGAUGGGGUGUCGCUAUGUUGCCCAGGUUGGUCUUGAACUCCUUGGCUCAAGCAGUCUUCCCACCUUCACCUCCCAAGUAGCUGGGAUUACAGGCAUGAGCCACCAUGCCCAACUGAAUAUUUUUCUCAAAGGGAUUUUGCAAGGGUGGAAGUAAGAAAAGCAAUUAGGGAGCUAUUUCAAUCAUCCAAGUGAGAAUUUAUGGUGGCUCCCAUCAAACCCAUAGCAGUGGGGGGUUAGAGGAGGCAGGACCCUGGAUAUAUUUCUGAUAUAGUGUGAACAUUAUCUCAUAAUGGGUAGGGUGUGUGAGAUUUGAGAGAAACAGAAAAGUUAAUAAUCCAAAGGUUUUUUUUUUUUUUUUUUUUUUGAGACAGUCUCACUCUGUCACCCAGACUGGAGUGUAGUGGUAUGAUCUCGGCUCACCACAACCUCUGCCUCCCAGGUUCAAGCGUUUCUCCUGUCUCAGCCUCCUGAGUAGCUGGGACUACAGGCGUGUGCCACCACACCCAGCUAAUUUUUGUUUUUGUACUGGAGACAGGGUUUCACCAUGUUGGCCAGGCUGGUCUCAAACUCCUGACCUCAAGUGAUCCACCUGCCUUAGCCUCCCAAAGUUCUGAUAUUACAGACAUGAACCACUGAACAUGGCCAGCACAUGGAAAGCUCUUAUCGCAGUACCUAGUGCAAAGUAAGCUUUCAAUAUAUAUAAGCUCAUAUUAUUUACUGAAGAUACACACCCUGAAAAAGGCAUUGGCCAGAUUUUUCAGAUGCUUUAGGAAUGAAUUGACUUAAAUUCUAUCUUCAAGGUACUUGUCAUGUAUUAUAAUGCAGUACCCCAGCAGCUGGAUGCAUACCCAUGGAAGAUAAAUCCCAGUUUACAGCCAUGGAAAACAUGGACCCUCUGAGCACCACAGUUGUGGGUUGUAUCAGAGAGCCCCAAGUUCCAACUUCUUUAUGUGACAGCUUCACCCAAGUUCCUGGAGUCUCUAGGAUGGUGUUGGAGUGUGUCUCACAGAGGAACACAUUCAAUUUUAGUACUGACAAAUAUUUGUUCUUCGUAAAAGAUUGGUAUUUGAACUUAGGUUCUCUGGUAGCCAAUAUAAGUAGAAGAUUUCAACAUACCUAAGGGCCAUGGUUGAAAUUAAUGAGUACUCUUCUUUGGGAAAAAAAAGUCUUACAAGGGAAAAAUAAUAAAACACUACAUAAAAUUCUGUUUCCAAAUAAAUGGAUCACAUGCCCUGGCUUUACUAAAUGCCUAGAGAAAUAUUUAUUUAUUGAAACACAUCAACUACUCUACUACUGUGAGGCUGGCGUUGGUCUGGAGAGGUGGGGGCAGGAAUGCAGGGCUUCAGUGUAUCUCGCAGGUCAUCUGGAACCGCCUGUCCUCUAUCUUCCAGCACUGUCCCUGGCCCCACAUGCCGGUCAGAAUGACUCUUAGGAAUCUUUACUUUUGACUUUAGUCAUUUUCUACAUACUGAAAAGGAAAGAAAAAAAAUCAAAAUAUCAGAAUUGCCCUGGGCCUUAAUUUCUGGAAUGGAGUUUGUGACUGGCAGAGCAUGUUCCUUUGUUUCUAAGUUCUAUCCCAACCUGAAACGCAGCUCAAAAAUGAGCAAUUCGUUUUCUGAACCUCUUCAAUGUGGGGUGGGUUUUUUUUGUUGUUGUUGUUUUUUUUUUUAAAUAGGAAAGGCCCAUUGUGACUAAUGACACACACAGGCUAAUUCCUCCUCACAUUUCCCAGCAGUAUCCUCUGUUGUGUGAACCAGUUCGUUGUCAGAAAUAUUCACAACCUGAGCAUUUUCAUCAGAUAAAAAACAACCUGUUUAUGAGAUGAACUUAGCAGGAGUCUUCCUGUUUCAGUUUCUUCCUGGGACUUUUUUUUUAAACUAGAUAAAAAGAAUCUUUAAAAUGACGUUUUAAAAGAAAUUGUUAGAAGAUAAAUCUGAGCUAGGCAUGGUGGCUCAAGCCUGUAAUCCCAGCUACAUGGGAGGGUGAGGCAGGAAGAGGAUCACUUGAGCCCAGAAGUUGAGAACAGCCCGGGCAACAUAGCAAGACCCUCUCUUCCCCCGUAAAAAUAUUCCAGUGCUCCAUGUUUCUUUCCACCCUGUAAAGUGGUUGCAAGGAGGGAACCCAGAAGGGACUAGAGAUGCUACUAGGGGAAUAUCACACGACACCUCCCAGGAGAAAGGAAAGGCUCAUUAUCAUGCAUGCUGUUGUUUUGGGCCUGCCUUUUCCUUGGCCUCUGAAAGUGCUGGGCACUUUCAUCAUGCACAAGCCUAUGCUGAUGGAAAAGGAAAGGGAAGUGCUACCUUUGCCCCCUGUCUCCUUCUGAGUCGGACACAUGGGAACCCCAGAGCUGAGUGGGUGAAAUUUGCCAUCCGGAGUAGGAAUUCCUUAAGAGAGGAAGGAAAAUGUGUUGACUUGGCUGGGAGACCAAAAAACAAAAAGGACCUACACUACCUAGGAGGAAAUUCAGAGUAAAAACAAGGCUUGCCACCACUUUCUUCCCAUAGGGGCAGCAAACACUGAGGGACUUCAUAUUUUUUCCCCAUAAUCAAUGCAAACAUUUACCUUAUUGGCAGAGGUUUAUCUUCCCCGGGAUCUCCUCGUGCUUUUGGAAAAUACUGAGAUAGUACAACAAAGGCCACAGCCCUUGAAAGAUACGUGCCUGCUUUUUAAUACAGAACUGCUGUCAAGUCAAAUAGCUUAAUGAAAAUAGGCAUGAAGGAGGCCAAGAGAAGGGUUUUGUCUUUUGUUUUGGAUGGCACUCAGGAGUCAAUGCAGUGGGGACAGACCUGUUCUGUCCAGGUGGCGCUGAGUCAAAGGAUCCCGGCCUCAAAUUCUGGCACCUGUUUUUACCUCCUGCGUAUGGCCCCAUAGAUGUCUGAAGUUGAACAUGUCACUUCUCUUCUCUAAGCCUCAGCUUCCUCUACUGCAAAAUGGAAGGCUUGGAGAAACUAUUUUCAGUUCCCUGCCAAGAAGGUUGGGCAUGGUGGCUCAUGCCUGUAAUCCCAGCAUGUUGAGAGGCCAAGGCGAGUGGAUCACCUGAGGUCAGAAGUUCAAGACCAGCCUGGCCAACAUGGUGAAACUCCAUCUCUACUAAAAAUACAAAAAUUAGCUGGGUGUGGUGGUGCGUGCCUGUAGUUCCCACUAUUUCGGAGGCUGAGGCAUGAGAGUUGCUUUAACCUGGGAAGUGAAUGUUGCAGUAAGCCAAGAUUGUACCACUGCACUCCAGUUUGGGCAACAGAACAAGACUCUGCCUCAAAAAAAUAAAUUCCCUGCAAAGAAAUCUUUAAUUCCAAUAUAGCCACUUGAAGUUACUGCUGGGUUUUGGCAGACAGUUCUUCCCUUAGCCCGCCAGGACUUGUAUCUUGAGCUAAGCUUACUAAUUCUCAGAACCACUUCCCAGGAGAGUCUGGGUCAUUCUUCCUGGACAGCUCUGAAAUGGGGUAAAUUCUCCUUGACCUCUGACAGUUGAGCAGGUCCUGGCUUAGAAAAGGGAGUGGUUGAGAUCUGUAUACCCACGAGAGCUUCAGAAGCAGCAGAAUCACCCCAUUCACUGGCUAACAAAACAAAACAGAAUGGACUCCUGGUCCACACCUCAUGGAAUCCCUAUGGGGUGGUCUCUGAAAUCUCUAUAUUGGAUGAAAUUCCUGCCAGCUUAAAUAAUCUCCCAGGGCUGGGUGCAGUGGCUCACGCAUGUAAUCCCAGCACUUUGAGAGGCCAAAGCGGGCCGAUCACUUGAGGUCAAGAGUUUGAGACCAGCUUGGCCAAUGUGGUGAAACCCCGUCUUUACUAAAAAUAAUAAAAAUUAGCUAGGCUUGGUGGUGCUUGCCUGUAGUCCGGGUUACUUGGGAGGCAGGAGGAUCACUUGACCCUGGGGGUGGAGGUUUCAGUGAACUCCAGCCUGGGCAACAGAGUGAGACUCUAUCUUUAAAAAAAAAAAAAAUUCUCUCAGAUCUCUUCUAGCACUUUGAGAACAAGGACAUUUUUAACAGAGCUCCCAACAUUGGAGUGAGACAGGGCUAGCCAGAAAGCUGACAACUGUCCCACCUUGCAAACAUAAGCCACAAGACCACUCUUGUCGGCUGGCACUUUCCUUCCCACCUCUUGGACCUUCCAAAUUCAUCCAUUCUUUGCAGCCCAGCUCAAAUCUUUCUUCCUGUACGACACUGUCCCUACCUAUUCAUCCAGCCCAAAUUUGUUAUCCUUUUUUUGUCUCUCCCUUGAAACCCAUCCUAUACUGACUCACACACUGACUCUUGUUGUGACUCAGUGAGUUCAGGCUGGUAAGUCUUGGUCUUCUGGGAUGUGAGCUACUUCCUCCCAAGCAGGUGGCCAGGGACACAUCUUUCCCGUGCAUCCUCCUUGGUGUUGGGCACAGUGCCCAUAAGAGGGUGGAAUGCCCUGGGGUUCCGUGCACUCAGGGCCUGCAGACUGCACUACAGGAGCAGCGUCACAGUUGUAUAGAGGCUUUUGUGGGUAGAUGGGGGAAAAGGGAGAUAGCUAGGGAUGUGAGCCACAUGCUUUCAGCAUGUCUAAAGACAUAUGCCAUCAGUGCCUGGAGGAGAGCCCCAGUCAGCCUAUGUUCCCUUUUCUGGCAACUGCAGGUCAUGGCCUUCUCUCGUCCACUCCCUACAGCCUCAUGACGACUCUCUUCCUCUUCAAGAAUGGCGUGGAUGUCUAUUGUAAUUUGGUUUUCUAUCAGCUAAAAGAUGGUGAGGGUGUGGUUCUCCCUACUGUCAUCUGCCAUUUAGCACAUGGUUAAGUACCUUGGUUUGGAGUCAGUCUAAAUCUGCCCUGUCCAAUGGGGUAGCCACUAGCAACAAGUACAACUUAAAUUUAAGUUAAAUAAGAUUGAAUAAAAAUUUAAAAUCUAGUUUUCCAGUUGCAGCGAUCACAUCUCAAGGCUCAUUAACCACAUAGGGCUAGUAGCUACCCUAUUUAUUGCACAGGGCAGAUAUAGAACAUUGCAAUCAUUGCAGAAAGUUCAAUUGAACACUGCUGGUCUAGGCUGGGCUCAAACCCUUGCCCUUCCACUCAUUUUCUGCACGAUCUUCAAUCAAUUACUUAGUAUUUUGGUGUCUCAGUUCCCUAGUUUAUAAAAUAGAGAAAAUAAUACUAUCUACUUGGCAAAAUUGUUGAGAUUUAAAUAGGAUAAUCCAUGCAAAGGGAGUGUCAGAACAUAAGAACUCAAGGUAAGUUACAACAGCAGCAACAACAGAAGCUUAUGUGUUGGCCCUGUUGGAUCUGAAUUCCAACUUCCCACCACAAAGAAUAGCUUUGACACCAAAUACAAGGUGGCCUCUCAAUAAAUACUUAAAUGUAUGAGCUGAAUUGAAAGGGAGUUACAUGGUUGCUAGACCCAGUAGGCUCUGUUGGGUCAAGACUGAGGUUUUCUCUGUGUACGUGCAGUUCCUUGGAUCUGCCUGUGAACCAGAGGACAUUGUGAUGCUUUCACCUUUUCGGAAAGGACAGUAAUUUCCCUGAUUGUGGGCUUUCAGCCAGAGGUGAGCAUGUAUUGACCCUCUCCAGUUCUCUCCCUCUCUCUUUUUAAAAAUUUUUUAUUUUUUUCCCACACUGAAAGCAUAUUCCCUCCUGAGAGGAAGUUUGUUUUCCAUGUCCUGGAAAUGUCAGGCUCCCCAGAGGGCUCGAGGGUGGAUCUGUCUCAGUCAAAUGUCUGUUCCUCUGAUGCAGUGGGUGACCCCCCCUGCUUUCUUGAAUGACAUCAGCUGAGCCGUAAUCAAAGUGCUCAUGCCUGACUCACCACGCACUGUGGAGAAUUGACUUCCAGCAUAGCGGGGUGGGGGCGAGGUGGAGGAAAUGGCCCUUGGCAUGUGAAUGACUUCUUGACUUUUGACUCAGACAGUUUCAAUUGUGGUCAGGCCUCAGCAUUCCCGUGCAUCUCUUCAUUGCCUGAGUCUUCUUGACUUAAUUCUUUGCCAGUUUAUAGUAAACCUGAACAUGGGAAGCCCAUCCUGGGCUUCACAGAUCACUGCAGAAGGACUCGGGAGGACCAGGUUGCAGCAAGGGGGAGCUGGGAAAUUAGAAUACUUUGCCGACUGUGCCAGAUGCUGGCUUCUAAAUUGUAAAUUCCUAACAAUAUACAGGAGCUGAAGCACACGAGUCCAUGCAUUUUGGCAUUUGGUGAUGACUUACUGGGGGAGAGAAGGCAUAGUUUGUGGUUUCAGGAGCCAGUGUAGCAUUAGGAGCUCACCUUGAAUUGCUUUCAGAAGCAGAGAGAUGUCAGCUGUUUCCCAGCCUCUCAGCCAUCUCAUCUCCCUUGUAAUUAUAACUCAUUGUUCCACUGACUUCCUUUCUCAUUGGACAGUGUCUCAAGGGUGGACCUGUCUCAGGGCAGGGCUUUCAGAAGCAGUCCUAGACGGUGCUCAAACAUGUGUGCUGGGAUUUUCCCAAAGCUCCUUAAAGUCUGACGGCUGAGUUGUCUAAGAGCCAAACCAAGCCUAGCAAAAGUGAAAAUUCAUUUAACAUCAGGGCUCUCUCUCUACUGAAACAAUUGAUAGUUCAUCACCUCAUCCAUCAUCUGAAACUCAGCACUCAAAACCUCUUUUUCCUCCUGCUUUCUAGUGCAUGGAAGAUAGAAUUUUUCACUCUAGGGUAUACUUUUUUCUAGAUAUUGACUUAUUUGGGUCACUUGUUAUUUUUCUGUAAUUUUAAAAUUCCAGCAAAUUUUCAACGAUAGUCCAGAGAACUUUUAUGUACCCUUCUUUAUCAGAUUCAUCACCUGUUGACAAUUUCCCCCAUUUGCUGUCUUUUCCCCCAACUUAAAAAUUAUGGUAAAAUACACAUAACAUAAAAUUUAACAUCUUAAUCAUUUUUAAGUAUGCAGUUCAGUAGUAGUAAUUAUAUUCAUAAUGUUAUGCAGCCAUCAUCACCAUCCAUCACUCCAUCUGAUAACUCUUUUCAUUUUGCAAAGCUGCAACUCUAUACCUAUGACGUGAUAACACUGUGUUUCCACCUUGCCUCAGCCCCUGGCAACCCACCAUUCUACUUUCUGUCUCUAUGUUUUUGGCUACUCCAAUUUUCACUUCACCAUUUCUCUGUCUCACCAUUUCUCUGUUUGUCUCUCGCUCUGUUAUCUGUCUCUUGUUCUGUCUCUCUCUAUAUAUACACAUACAUUCCCUUCGAGAGUAAAUUGGAGACAUUGUGCCUUUUAACUCCUAAAUACUUCAAUGUGUAUUUUCUAAGGAUACUUUCUUACAUAACUAUAGUGUGGUUAUUAGAGACAGUUAUAUUUAAAAAAUUAUUUAUAUUUUUCUAGAGAUGGGUUUUCCCUUUAUUGCCCAAGCUAGUCUCAAACUCCUGGGCUCAAGUGAUCCUCCCACUUCAGCCUCCCAAAAUGCUGGGAUUAUAGGCAUAAGCAACCUUGCUCAGCCAAGACUGAUUUUUAAAUGGAGGCACUAACAUUGAGAUUGCAUAAAGCUUAAAAAAAUAUGUUCUUUAUACCUUUCUUGAGUGUAUUGCUACAAAACCAGUACAAAAACCAGCCAAGCAAACAAAACUCCCACCCGUGUAUUAAGGGCAUACUAUAUAACCAGCAAGAUGUUUGGAGCUGUGUCCAAAAUGAGGAAAAUAUAAGAUGCUGAUUUCUUAAAUUUGAAUUUUAUUUUUUAUUUCUGUAGAGAUGGAGUCUUCCUAUAUUGCUCAAGCUGGUCUUGAUCUCCUGGGCUCAAGUGAUCCUCCCACCUUGGCUUUCCAAAAUACUGGGAUUACAGGCAUGAGCCCUAGCUAGGAAAAUAAUAUAAACAUGUAAAAAGUUAAAAAUCAAGGAACUAUUUUAAAAGAGCAUAUUAAUUAGUUAAAUGCAGAUUCUUUGGGAAAAAUAAUUUAAAAUACCCUUGGAACAACCAUUAGCAAAAUUGUAAAUUCGGUAUAAAAAUAAUUCCUCAAACUUUAUUUUUUGGCUGUAUAAAUUCCUUGGAUAAUUAUAAAAUUGUAGCAGGAUGUUGAGAUAAUUGGCAGUAAAGUUUUGAUAGGAUUGGAUUUUUCAUAACUUCAAUCAAAUCAGGAUAUGGAGCAAAAAACUAUUCCUUGUUUUAGUAGACAAAGCCUCCAAUUCCCAAAGCAAGGGAAAGUUGUACUAAAACUCGUGUAUAGUCUUUAAGUGUCCAAAGGAUUGAUGGAAAGCUAAAUGGAAGCCUGUUCAUUUUUGUAAGUCUACCCCUCUAGAGCCUGGUUCCAGGCACAUACUAGAUAUGUAGUAUGCGUUGUUUGAUGAAAAACAAUGGACCGUAUUUGGAGCCAAAGACAUGAAGCAUGAAUACAUAUCCUGGGGGACAAGAACUUUGGAUUAUUUAUCUUCAGCCCCAGAAGAAGAGGUGCAGUGAAACUGCAUAUACUAUUUUUUGGUUUAUUUUUGCUGAUACUUCUGCCUUGUUUGGUGAGAAUUCAAAGAGGAAACAAGUGUCUGGAACAGGGUGCACACUCACCCUCACUAUGGCCCAUGUGCAGAGUGGCCUGGCCCUCACAAAGAACUCGGAUGAACAGAGAGAAUGUAUUAUUUGAAAUGGAGGAUGAUCCCAAAUACGGGUUGGCCCCAGUGCAUGUUCAAAAACAAGACAAUUGGCUGAAAUACACUGAAGAAUUACAAGAUGCUGACCUAGAAUGGGAAGCUUGAAAUAAUAAUUAGGGCAACAAGGAUAGAAUCAAAAGAUUGGUGACCCAAGGAAGAGGAGUGAAGGAACCAGGGUGAGUCUGAGUGAAUAAUGAAGACAGGAUGUGGCAUGUGGCUUUCAUGUAUUCACAGUGAGUCUGCAUAGGUGGGCUUGAGCCAUUUUGGGUAAAGGAUGGAGUAGACAUAGAGUAGAACUUCAUAAAUGUCCUCUGAAAUGAAAGACAGCUGUUCAGUACCUUAUUAUGUAGGUCAUUAAGAACCACCAAAGAACCUCUGAACUGAAGUCAUCCUCUGCAAGGAUUUGUAAGUAUAUCUCACCCCUACCCCUCAGAUGUGUACAGGAUUUACUACAGAUGUGGUAAAACAGCUAUUCCCAUCCUGAAUUUAUAAACUCAGGAAGAUAAAAGUCAUAGAUAUGAAAUGUGAAAAUGGCAUUCUACAUUAUGGAUGUCGAUAAUUGCCCCCCCAACAGCUUCCUUAUUGCUUGUUGUCAUGUUACCCAAAGUAAGUCCUGUCUCCUCACUUUCUUAAGCUCUUCUUGUUUCUUUGUCCUCCACCCCUAGUUACAUUUGCAACUUUGUCAUCACCAAUAAUUACAUCUCCUUAAUCUCCAUCUCAUGCCUCCCUUUCUUUGACCAACGCCUCUACUCUUCUACCUCCCUCCCUCUAGUAGUCCAACACCAAUGACCUUUCUAUUCCAUCAGACUUUCAAUCCAUUGGUCCUACCAUAUUUUCUCUGCCUUUCAUCCCCUUGCUAUCAUGAUUCCCUUGCUAUCUUGAUUCCUUCUUCACCUAUCUUAAAUUCCAUGUUCAAUUGUUAUAACCCUUGCAUAUGUCUUUGACUCACUUUCCAUUUUCUCACUUCAUAUAUUCACUUUGACAAACUGCAACCUUGAUUAAAUCCAACUUUUUGCUUGGCGCCUGUAUCUGUGCUUGGAGAAAUGCAGUCGGAGGAAAAGAUAUAAUUACACUGGCUAGUUGCACUUUAAAAUCACGACCUUGACUCUAAAAUAAACUUUUUAAUGCAGAGAAACAAUUUUACUCUUUGUCCCUGGCCAAUGCACACUCUCAUUGUUCUGGAAUUGCUUCAUGAUUUCUCACAAACAGUCUCAUUCCAUACUCCCUCCCAUGCAACUGAUUUUUAAAUUGAAUUUUAUCAAAGUAAAACAGGUACAUAGUUUAACAAGUCAAUAAAUAAUACUAGGUAGGUAACUAAGAAACAGUAGUUCUGUGCCAAAUUUCCUUUCAUUCCCAAUUCCCAUGGUAAUAUUUUUAACUCUCUUGUUUUUUCCCCCAUAGACCAUUAUUAUACUACCAUUUCUUAUUUUUUCAGUGAUAUAGUGCCUCUACACACACACUCAUGUUAUUCUUCUGACUGUUCUCGCAUUCUUCCAGUAUGUUUUUUUUUUUCAAAAUUUUUGGUUAAGUCAUUUCUCAAUGUUUAUAUUAUUACUAUGUAAUUAAUAUUCACAGUUGAACUUACAA